UUUUCAAUGUUUCACUGACGAGAUUGAGAAUCGUCGGAACACCGUCGAAUGGCGCGAACUAACGCUGACCGUGUAGAUUUGGACACCGGGAGGUCGCCCCCGCACUUAAUUGGCUAAUUACUGUUGCAACUUAUUGCAACUGCAGAUUUUUCCCUAUUAAUACCCUCUGGCCCAAGCAGCCAUGUCUUACGUCUGUCAAGUCGCGAAGUGCGUGGACGUAAACCCGGAUUAGCCCUCUCGAGCAAUAGUAGCGUUCGGAAAAUCUUAGUUGUGACCGGCCUAAAGU
RNAcentral lists this long non-coding RNA (286 nucleotides) under Neodiprion lecontei (redheaded pine sawfly). RNAcentral describes it as "uncharacterized LOC124294983". The record is from RNAcentral. Lineage: Eukaryota; Metazoa; Arthropoda; Insecta; Hymenoptera; Diprionidae.